AUUCCAGCUCCAAUAGCGUAUAUUAAAGUUGUUGCAGUUAAAAAGCUCGUAGUUGGAUUUCUGGCCGAGUGUCCCCAGGCCAGCAUGACGUUUGGUCCUGGGCGCUCUGCCAUCCUUCUGUCAACCUUCGCCUCGUUCAUUCGUGGCGCUGGGGCUCAGAUAUUUUACCUUGAGAAAAUUAGAGUGUUUCAGGCAGGCUUUCGCCGGAAUACAUUAGCAUGGAAUAAUGGAAAAGGACUUCAACCUCUUCUGUUGGUCUGAGAGGCUGUAGUAAUGAUUAAUAGGGUCAGUUGGGGGUAUUCGUAUUCCGUUGUCAGAGGUGAAAUUCUUGGAUUUACGGAAGACGAACGACUGCGAAAGCAUCUACCAAGGAUGUUUUCAUCA
Molecule: ribosomal RNA, 384 nt
Filed under: Leegaardiella sp.
Lineage: Eukaryota; Ciliophora; Spirotrichea; Choreotrichida; Leegaardiellidae
Description: partial small subunit ribosomal RNA
Rfam family: Eukaryotic small subunit ribosomal RNA
Source: RNAcentral